RNAcentral lists this long non-coding RNA (242 nucleotides) under Homo sapiens (human). RNAcentral describes it as "non-protein coding lnc-UCP3-7:1". The record is from RNAcentral. Lineage: Eukaryota; Metazoa; Chordata; Mammalia; Primates; Hominidae.
AUGGUCAGUCUCCAUUUGGCCCCCUCAAGUAACCAUGGAGCUUAUUACAGAUAACAAAGAUUUCACUGGUAUCAAUACUAAGUUAAGUGGCAACACCCAUUAUACCCCACUUUGUGCUCCUACAAGUCCAAAUAAGGCACUACCAGAACUUAACCAAGAUAUGACCUGUACCAAAAAUCCACAAAACUUAAACCAAAUUCAUGAGGAAACUGCAAAGAAAGCACAGAACUUGGUGCUCCCCA